This 35-nucleotide ribosomal RNA is filed under the name Quercus ilex. Its description in RNAcentral is "partial 25S ribosomal RNA". RNAcentral also lists the same sequence under 2 other names. Lineage: Eukaryota; Viridiplantae; Streptophyta; Magnoliopsida; Fagales; Fagaceae. The record is from RNAcentral.
GCGACCCCAGGUCAGGCGGGACUACCUGCUGAGUU